CAGAUUGAACGCUGGCGGCAUGCCUUACACAUGCAAGUCGAACGGUAACAGGUUAAGCUGACGAGUGGCGAACGGGUGAGUAAUGUAUCGGAACGUGCCUAGUCGUGGGGGAUAACGUAGCGAAAGCUACGCUAAUACCGCAUACGAUCCAUGGAUGAAAGCGGGGGACCUUCGGGCCUCGCGCGAUUAGAGCGGCCGAUAUCAGAUUAGGUAGUUGGUGGGGUAAAGGCCCACCAAGCCGACGAUCUGUAGCUGGUCUGAGAGGACGACCAGCCACACUGGGACUGAGACACGGCCCAGACUCCUACGGGAGGCAGCAGUGGGGAAUUUUGGACAAUGGGCGCAAGCCUGAUCCAGCAAUGCCGCGUGCAGGACGAAGGCCUUCGGGUUGUAAACUGCUUUUGUACGGAGCGAAAAGGCUCUCUCUAAUAAAGGGGGCUCAUGACGGUACCGUAAGAAUAAGCACCGGCUAACUACGUGCCAGCAGCCGCGGUAAUACGUAGGGUGCGAGCGUUAAUCGGAAUUACUGGGCGUAAAGCGUGCGCAGGCGGUUAUGUAAGACAGAUGUGAAAUCCCCGGGCUCAACCUGGGACCUGCAUUUGUGACUGCAUAGCUAGAGUGCGGCAGAGGGGGAUGGAAUUCCGCGUGUAGCAGUGAAAUGCGUAGAUAUGCGGAGGAACACCGAUGGCGAANGCAAUCCCCUGGGCCUGCACUGACGCUCAUGCACGAAAGCGUGGGGAGCAAACAGGAUNAGAUACCCUGUNGUCCACGCCCUAAACGAUGUCNACUGGUUGUUGGGUCUUCACUGACUCAGUAACG
RNAcentral lists this ribosomal RNA (819 nucleotides) under uncultured bacterium. RNAcentral describes it as "bacterial SSU rRNA". It matches the Rfam family "Bacterial small subunit ribosomal RNA", at positions 25 to 848 of the family's 1533-position model. The record is from RNAcentral.